GGGGCUCAUAUGAAGUGUAAAUUUUGAUAGAUCUAUCACUGUGGGAGAAAAAAAACUCAAUUCAAUAUGAAGGGACAGUAAGAGAGAGAGGAAGAGGAGAAAGAAGAAGAAGACAGAAUCUGAAGGUGCCAAAGCCAUAACCGCUUUGGGGAAAACGGUAUAGCGGCACCUUCAUCUUCUGACCUAUAAUUUGUUUUGUUUAUUGUUUUUGAUUUUGAAAUUUGCUCUUUAGGCACCCAGCAUUUAUGAUGGAUGGAAUUGGGUAUUAUUUCCCACAUAUGGUUUC
Molecule: long non-coding RNA, 286 nt
Filed under: Medicago truncatula (barrel medic)
Lineage: Eukaryota; Viridiplantae; Streptophyta; Magnoliopsida; Fabales; Fabaceae
Description: lncRNA gene16569
Source: RNAcentral